RNAcentral lists this ribosomal RNA (491 nucleotides) under uncultured bacterium. Its description in RNAcentral is "partial 16S ribosomal RNA". It matches the Rfam family "Bacterial small subunit ribosomal RNA", at positions 28 to 507 of the family's 1533-position model. The record is from RNAcentral.
GAUGAACGCUAGCUACAGGCUUAACACAUGCAAGUCGCGGGGCAGCAUGGGGGUUGCUUGCCACCCCUGAUGGCGACCGGCGCACGGGUGAGUCACGCGUAUCCAACCUGCCCUUCACCACGGGAUAACCCGGCGAAAGUCGGACUAAUACCAUUUGUUGUCAAUUGACGGCAUCCGAUUUGGACGCAGUUUUUGGCUGAGAUAGGAUGGGGAUGCGUCCGAUUAGCUUGACGGGUGGGUAACGGCCCACCGUGGCUACGAUUGGUAGGGGUACUGAGAGGAAGGUCCCCCAGACUGGAACUGAGACACGGUCCAGACUCGUACGGGAGGCAGCAGUGAGGAAUAUUAGUCGAUGAGCGUAAGCCUGAACCAGCCAAGUAGCGUGCAGGAUGACGGCCAUAUGGGUUGUAAACUGCUUGUAUGCGGGGAUAAAGUGGCCCACGUGUGGGCUUUUGCAGGUACCGCAUGAAUAAGGACCGGCUAAUUCCGUG